RNAcentral lists this non-coding RNA (29 nucleotides) under Rattus norvegicus (Norway rat). Lineage: Eukaryota; Metazoa; Chordata; Mammalia; Rodentia; Muridae. The record is from RNAcentral.
UGUUGGCCUUAGAGCCUGAGCUGAUGUUC